RNAcentral lists this ribosomal RNA (765 nucleotides) under uncultured Streptococcus sp. Its description in RNAcentral is "bacterial SSU rRNA". It matches the Rfam family "Bacterial small subunit ribosomal RNA", at positions 28 to 776 of the family's 1533-position model. Lineage: Bacteria; Bacillati; Bacillota; Bacilli; Lactobacillales; Streptococcaceae. The record is from RNAcentral.
GAUGAACGCUGGCGGCGUGCCUAAUACAUGCAAGUAGAACGCUGAAGCUUGGUGCUUGCACCGAGCGGAGGAGUUGCGAACGGGUGAGUAACGCGUAGGUAACCUGCCUCUUAGCGGGGGAUAACUAUUGGAAACGAUAGCUAAUACCGCAUAAAAGUCGACAUUGCAUGAUGUUGACUUGAAAGGUGCAACUGCAUCACUAAGAGAUGGACCUGCGUUGUAUUAGCUAGUUGGUGAGGUAACGGCUCACCAAGGCGACGAUACAUAGCCGACCUGAGAGGGUGAUCGGCCACACUGGGACUGAGACACGGCCCAGACUCCUACGGGAGGCAGCAGUAGGGAAUCUUCGGCAAUGGACGGAAGUCUGACCGAGCAACGCCGCGUGAGUGAAGAAGGUUUUCGGAUCGUAAAGCUCUGUUGUAAGAGAAGAACGAGUGUGAGAGUGGAAAGUUCACACUGUGACGGUAACUUACCAGAAAGGGACGGCUAACUACGUGCCAGCAGCCGCGGUAAUACGUAGGUCCCGAGCGUUAUUCGGAUUUAUUGGGCGUAAAGCGAGCGCAGGCGGUUAGAUAAGUCUGAAGUUAAAGGCUGUGGCUUAACCAUAGUACGCUUUGGAAACUGUUUAACUUGAGUGCAGAAGGGGAGAGUGGAAUUCCAUGUGUAGCGGUGAAAUGCGUAGAUAUAUGGAGGAACACCGGUGGCGAAAGCGGCUCUCUGGUCUGUAACUGACGCUGAGGCUCGAAAGCGUGGGGAGCAAACAGG